This 429-nucleotide ribosomal RNA is filed under the name Chloroflexota bacterium. RNAcentral's name for it is "Chloroflexi bacterium partial 16S ribosomal RNA". It matches the Rfam family "Bacterial small subunit ribosomal RNA", at positions 355 to 776 of the family's 1533-position model. The record is from RNAcentral. Lineage: Bacteria; Bacillati; Chloroflexota.
UGGGGAAUAUUGCACAAUGGGCGCAAGCCUGAUGCAGCCAUGCCGCGUGUGUGAAGAAGGCCUUCGGGUUGUAAAGCACUUUCAGCGGGGAGGAAGGCGGUGAGGUUAAUAACCUCAUCGAUUGACGUUACCCGCAGAAGAAGCACCGGCUAACUCCGUGCCAGCAGCCGCGGUAAUACGGAGGGUGCAAGCGUUAAUCGGAAUGACUGGGCGUAAAGCGCACGCAGGCGGUCUGUCAAGUCGGAUGUGAAAUCCACGGGCUCAACCUGGGAACUGCAUUCGAAACUUGCAGGCUAGAGUCUUGUAGAGGGGGGUAGAAUUCCAGGUGUAGCGGUUCAAUGCGUAGAGAUCUGGAGGAAUACCGGUGGCGAAGGCGGCCCCCUGGACAAAGACUGACGCUCAGGUGCGAAAGCGUGGGGAGCAAACAGG